GAUGAACGCUGGCGGCGUGCUUAACACAUGCAAGUCGAACGGGAUCCCAGGAGCUUGCUCCUGGGUGAGAGUGGCGAACGGGUGAGUAAUGCGUGACCGACCUGCCCCAUACACCGGAAUAGCUCCUGGAAACGGGUGGUAAUGCCGGAUGCUCCAGUUGACCGCAUGGUCCUCUGGGAAAGCUUUUGCGGUAUGGGAUGGGGUCGCGUCCUAUCAGCUUGAUGGCGGGGUAACGGCCCACCAUGGCUUCGACGGGUAGCCGGCCUGAGAGGGCGACCGGCCACAUUGGGACUGAGAUACGGCCCAGACUCCUACGGGAGGCAGCAGUGGGGAAUAUUGCACAAUGGGCGCAAGCCUGAUGCAGCGACGCCGCGUGCGGGAUGACGGCCUUCGGGUUGUAAACCGCUUUUGACUGGGAGCAAGC
RNAcentral lists this ribosomal RNA (424 nucleotides) under uncultured bacterium. RNAcentral's name for it is "bacterial SSU rRNA". It matches the Rfam family "Bacterial small subunit ribosomal RNA", at positions 28 to 451 of the family's 1533-position model. The record is from RNAcentral.